RNAcentral lists this ribosomal RNA (494 nucleotides) under uncultured bacterium. RNAcentral's name for it is "partial 16S ribosomal RNA". It matches the Rfam family "Bacterial small subunit ribosomal RNA", at positions 28 to 507 of the family's 1533-position model. The record is from RNAcentral.
GACGAACGCUGGCGGCGUGCUUAACGCAUGCCAGUCGAACGGUGAAGCGCCUUCCUUUUUGGUGGGUGUGGAUGAGUGGCGAACGGGUGAGUAACACGUGAGUAACCUGCCCCCUUCUUCUGGAUAACCGCAUGAAAGUGUGGCUAAUACGGGAUAUUCUGGGUCUGUCGCAUGAUGGGUCUGGGAAAGAUAUUGUUUCGGUGGGGGAUGGGCUCGCGGCCUAUCAGCUUGUUGGUGGGGUGAUGGCCUACCAAGGCGGUGACGGGUAGCCGGCCUGAGAGGGUGGACGGUCACACUGGGACUGAGACACGGCCCAGACUCCUACGGGAGGCAGCAGUGGGGAAUAUUGCACAAUGGGCGCAAGCCUGAUGCAGCGACGCCGCGUGAGGGAUGGAGGCCUUCGGGUUGUGAACCUCUUUCGCCAGUGAAGCAGGCCUGCCUCGUUUGUGGGUGGGUUGACGGUAGCUGGAUAAGAAGCGCCGGCUAACUACGUG